UACGUAGGGAGCAAGCGUUGUCCGGAAUCAUUGGGCGUAAAGCGCGCGUAGGCGGCCCCGUAAGUCCGCUGUGAAAGUCAAAGGCUCAACCUUUGAAAGCCGGUGGAUACUGUGGGGCUAGAGUCCGGGAGAGGCGAGUGGAAUUCCUGGUGUAGCGGUGGAAUGCGCAGAUAUCAGGAGGAACACCAAUAGCGAAGGCAGCUCGCUGGGACGGUACUGACGCUAAGGCGCGAAAGCGUGGGGAGCGAACAGG
This 253-nucleotide ribosomal RNA is filed under the name uncultured bacterium. RNAcentral describes it as "partial 16S ribosomal RNA". It matches the Rfam family "Bacterial small subunit ribosomal RNA", at positions 524 to 776 of the family's 1533-position model. The record is from RNAcentral.